RNAcentral lists this ribosomal RNA (144 nucleotides) under uncultured eukaryote. Its description in RNAcentral is "partial 18S ribosomal RNA". It matches the Rfam family "Eukaryotic small subunit ribosomal RNA", at positions 1299 to 1458 of the family's 1831-position model. The record is from RNAcentral.
UGGUGGAGUGAUUUGUCUGGUUAAUUCCGUUAACGAACGAGACCGUCGCCUGCUAAAUAGUUACGCGAAUGGCCUCGGCCAUUGGUGGGCAACUUCUUAGAGGGACUUAUGGUGUUUAACCAUAGGAAGCUGGCGGCAAUAACA